AGAAUCAACGCUGGCGGCGUGCCUAACACAUGCAAGUCGAACGAGAAAGUGGAGCAAUCCAUGAGUAAAGUGGCGACCGGGUGAGUAACACGUGACUAACCUACCUUCGAGUGGGGGAUAACCUCGGGAAACCGGGGCUAAUACCGCAUAACAUCUUUGAAGUGGAAAUUUCGGAGAUCAAAGGAGCAAUUCGCUGGAAGAGGGGGUCGCGGCUGAUUAGCUAGUUGGCGGGGUAAUGGCCCACCAAGGCUUAGAUCGGUA
Molecule: ribosomal RNA, 261 nt
Filed under: uncultured bacterium
Lineage: Bacteria
Description: partial small subunit ribosomal RNA
Rfam family: Bacterial small subunit ribosomal RNA
Source: RNAcentral